AACGCACAUUGCGCCCCUUGGUAUUCCGGGGGGCAUGCCUGUUCGAGCGUCAUUUCAACCCUCAAGCUUUGCUUGGUCUUGGGCUCUGCCGGCAACGGCUUGCCUUAAACUCAGUGGCGGUGCCAUUCGAGCUCUACGCGUAGUAAUAAAACCCUCGCGAUUGAGUCUUGGUGGAUGCUGGCCAGCAACCCCUCAUUUUUCUAUGGUUGACCUCGGAUCAGGUAGGGAUACCCGCUGAACUUAA
RNAcentral lists this unclassified non-coding RNA (244 nucleotides) under uncultured fungus. Its description in RNAcentral is "sequence contains ITS2". Lineage: Eukaryota; Fungi. The record is from RNAcentral.